GAUGGAUGUGAGUCUAGUCCAUGUAUGACGUUACCAUGACUAGAUCCACACUCAUCCG
RNAcentral lists this microRNA precursor (58 nucleotides) under Nautilus pompilius. The record is from RNAcentral. Lineage: Eukaryota; Metazoa; Mollusca; Cephalopoda; Nautilida; Nautilidae.